Molecule: ribosomal RNA, 355 nt
Filed under: uncultured bacterium
Lineage: Bacteria
Description: bacterial SSU rRNA
Rfam family: Bacterial small subunit ribosomal RNA
Source: RNAcentral
GAUGAACGCUAGCUACAGGCUUAACACCUUGGGAGGCAUCUCCUGGGGUUGAAAGUUCCGGCGGUUUGAGAUGGACAUGCGUUGUAUUAGCUAGUUGGUGAGGUAACGGCUCACCAAGGCGACGAUACAUAGGGGGACUGAGAGGUUAACCCCCCACAUUGGUACUGAGACACGGACCAAACUCCUACGGGAGGCAGCAGUGAGGAAUAUUGGUCAAUGGACGCAAGUCUGAACCAGCCAUGCCGCGUGCAGGAUGACGGCUCUAUGAGUUGUAAACUGCUUUUGUAUGAGGGUAAACCUAGGUACGUGUACCUAGCUGAAAGUAUCAUACGAAUAAGGAUCGGCUAACUCCGUG